RNAcentral lists this long non-coding RNA (1143 nucleotides) under Anas platyrhynchos platyrhynchos (common mallard). RNAcentral describes it as "lncRNA (ENSAPLG00000025113.1)". Lineage: Eukaryota; Metazoa; Chordata; Aves; Anseriformes; Anatidae. The record is from RNAcentral.
AUGGCACAAGGCACAAGACACAAGGCACGUGGCAUAUGGCAUGUGGCACAUGGCACAAGGCACAUGGCACAUGGCACACAGCACACGGCAUGUGGCACCAUGGCACAUGGUGCAUGGCACACGGCACAUGGCACAGGGCGCACAGCACAUGGCACAAGGCACGUUGGCACAUGGUGCAUGGCACACGGCACACGGCACAUGGCACAAGGCACGUUGGCACGUGGUGCAUGGCACAAGGCACAUGGCACACCGCACAUGGCACAUGGUGCACAGCACAUGGCACGCCAGCACGUCACACACAGCGCAGCCACCCCCCCCCCCACCACCACGUCCAAGGGAGUUUCUCGUCUCUCUCCGCGCCUGCCGAGCCGCGUCCUCCUCGAUAUCAAAGCAUUAGGCAAAUUAAAUUGUUUGCAAAGCACUGUCUGCGCGUCUGCUUUAUGCCUGCUUUGGGAAAACACGCCGCCGCCGCGCCUCUGCGGCUGUGCCAUUUUGUUGAGCUUUCCCCGUAAUGCCUGUUCAAAGGCGCUGCCGCGAUCAGCCCCAGCGCCGCCAGCAUCAAAGCGCCUCCGAUCCCGCUGCUGCGAGCACCUGGCAGGGAACACAACGGGGCCUCGUGCGGGUGGCGUGCUGGGAAGGCUGCUCUGCCUCCCACCUCCCUUCUCCUUCGCUCUGGAGGGCGUGCAGGUGGUGGGUGCUGGCCGUAGGGGGGACAGGAGCAGCAGGAGGGGGUGCUGGAUGUGUCGGGGUGGCCACCCGGCUGGCGGCCCCGCGCCCCGCUGCUCCCCAGGCCCCGGCCACAAGGCAGCAAACCAAAUAAACUCUCUCCACCAAAUUGCUUCUCAUAAAUCCUCCGCUCCCCGCCGCGCUCUGGAAGCGGCACUUCUUCCUCCCCGUGGACCGGCGAUGGCUGAGAACGGCCGCGUCCCGCGGAGCUGUGGCCAGGCAGGGACGUUUGUCACCGGCUGCUGGAGCCGCGGCGAGGGGAGAGCAGACGGGAAAUCAAUACGGGGACCGGGAGCCACGGGACCCGGGGACCUGCUGCACCAGGACCUCUUAUUGAAUUUGCCAUCUUCCUCAUUGUUCCUCCGCUGUCCCUUAUCCCCUUCUUGCUUUUACGGCGAGGAAUUGGAUUUGGUUUGA